This 397-nucleotide ribosomal RNA is filed under the name uncultured bacterium. RNAcentral describes it as "partial 16S ribosomal RNA". It matches the Rfam family "Bacterial small subunit ribosomal RNA", at positions 523 to 918 of the family's 1533-position model. The record is from RNAcentral.
AUACGUAGGGGGCGAGCGUUGUCCGGAAUGAUUGGGCGUAAAGGGCGCGUAGGCGGCUUUGCAAGUCAGUAGUGGAAGUCCAUUUUUCAAGGAUGGAAGUGCUACAGAAACUGCGGAGCUUGAGUGCAGGAGAGGAAAGUGGAAUUCCUAGUGUAGCGGUGAAAUGCGUAGAGAUUAGGAAGAACACCGGUGGCGAAGGCGACUUUCUGGGCGAAGACUGACGCUGAGGCGCGAAAGCGUGGGGAGCAAACAGGAUUAGAUACCCUGGUAGUCCACGCUGUAAACGAUGGGUACUAGGUGUAGGAGGUAUCGACCCCUUCUGUGCCGGAGUUAACGCAAUAAGUACCCCGCCUGGGGACUACGGUCGCAAGACUAAAACUCAAAUGAAUUGACGGGG